RNAcentral lists this ribosomal RNA (1532 nucleotides) under Lactiplantibacillus plantarum. Its description in RNAcentral is "Lactobacillus plantarum 16S ribosomal RNA". It matches the Rfam family "Bacterial small subunit ribosomal RNA". Lineage: Bacteria; Bacillati; Bacillota; Bacilli; Lactobacillales; Lactobacillaceae. The record is from RNAcentral.
AGAGUUUGAUCCUGGCUCAGGACGAACGCUGGCGGCGUGCCUAAUACAUGCAAGUCGAACGAACUCUGGUAUUGAUUGGUGCUUGCAUCAUGAUUUACAUUUGAGUGAGUGGCGAACUGGUGAGUAACACGUGGGAAACCUGCCCAGAAGCGGGGGAUAACACCUGGAAACAGAUGCUAAUACCGCAUAACAACUUGGACCGCAUGGUCCGAGUUUGAAAGAUGGCUUCGGCUAUCACUUUUGGAUGGUCCCGCGGCGUAUUAGCUAGAUGGUGGGGUAACGGCUCACCAUGGCAAUGAUACGUAGCCGACCUGAGAGGGUAAUCGGCCACAUUGGGACUGAGACACGGCCCAAACUCCUACGGGAGGCAGCAGUAGGGAAUCUUCCACAAUGGACGAAAGUCUGAUGGAGCAACGCCGCGUGAGUGAAGAAGGGUUUCGGCUCGUAAAACUCUGUUGUUAAAGAAGAACAUAUCUGAGAGUAACUGUUCAGGUAUUGACGGUAUUUAACCAGAAAGCCACGGCUAACUACGUGCCAGCAGCCGCGGUAAUACGUAGGUGGCAAGCGUUGUCCGGAUUUAUUGGGCGUAAAGCGAGCGCAGGCGGUUUUUUAAGUCUGAUGUGAAAGCCUUCGGCUCAACCGAAGAAGUGCAUCGGAAACUGGGAAACUUGAGUGCAGAAGAGGACAGUGGAACUCCAUGUGUAGCGGUGAAAUGCGUAGAUAUAUGGAAGAACACCAGUGGCGAAGGCGGCUGUCUGGUCUGUAACUGACGCUGAGGCUCGAAAGUAUGGGUAGCAAACAGGAUUAGAUACCCUGGUAGUCCAUACCGUAAACGAUGAAUGCUAAGUGUUGGAGGGUUUCCGCCCUUCAGUGCUGCAGCUAACGCAUUAAGCAUUCCGCCUGGGGAGUACGGCCGCAAGGCUGAAACUCAAAGGAAUUGACGGGGGCCCGCACAAGCGGUGGAGCAUGUGGUUUAAUUCGAAGCUACGCGAAGAACCUUACCAGGUCUUGACAUACUAUGCAAAUCUAAGAGAUUAGACGUUCCCUUCGGGGACAUGGAUACAGGUGGUGCAUGGUUGUCGUCAGCUCGUGUCGUGAGAUGUUGGGUUAAGUCCCGCAACGAGCGCAACCCUUAUUAUCAGUUGCCAGCAUUAAGUUGGGCACUCUGGUGAGACUGCCGGUGACAAACCGGAGGAAGGUGGGGAUGACGUCAAAUCAUCAUGCCCCUUAUGACCUGGGCUACACACGUGCUACAAUGGAUGGUACAACGAGUUGCGAACUCGCGAGAGUAAGCUAAUCUCUUAAAGCCAUUCUCAGUUCGGAUUGUAGGCUGCAACUCGCCUACAUGAAGUCGGAAUCGCUAGUAAUCGCGGAUCAGCAUGCCGCGGUGAAUACGUUCCCGGGCCUUGUACACACCGCCCGUCACACCAUGAGAGUUUGUAACACCCAAAGUCGGUGGGGUAACCUUUUAGGAACCAGCCGCCUAAGGUGGGACAGAUGAUUAGGGUGAAGUCGUAACAAGGUAGCCGUAG